RNAcentral lists this long non-coding RNA (1155 nucleotides) under Ursus americanus (American black bear). RNAcentral describes it as "lncRNA (ENSUAMG00000005567.1)". The record is from RNAcentral. Lineage: Eukaryota; Metazoa; Chordata; Mammalia; Carnivora; Ursidae.
GUAUAGCUUCUAGUCACCUGGUGUAUCUAGGAGGAGACAUCUCCAGGUGUGUGAUUGUUCAUAUCAGAAAAGAACUGACUUUAUGUACUCAUUCAUAUCAGAAGAUAAAAGGUCUUCUCUUGCUGAGAAAUUGGCAGAGCUGUGAAGUUCUGAGUGUGACCAGAAAAGGAACUUACCACUGCAUGAAUACCGAGAGAGAAAGAAACUACACAUUUCAGAGGGUUGAGUGGGGGCUCCCGCACACCUAAAACACCCGGAGAAAACAGGCAAUGAGGACUACUACAGCUCUACUCAGACACUUCUUUCAACCCAACCUCUGGGUGCACACGUUAAGGGCCUUCGACUCAGCAGGUGGAAAACCCAAGACCUACAGAGUCCCAAGAGAACAUGUCCAGCUGGUGGCCAAGGGGAUGGGGAGCCCCUGUCGGCUGUGCAUUGCCUGGUGCCCUUUACAGUUUGCACGCUGUCCCUCCUGGCCAGGAUCGCAAGCUACAUCAUAGGUUACGCAUGGAUUAUGUACAUAUUGACUAAUAAGAAAAUAAAUAGCACGUCUGAGAAAAAUACAUCACGCGGAGAAAGUAGGAUGAAGUCAUUACAACCAUCAAUGGCCAAGAGACUGGAGGAAGCAAACAUCGUCUGGUCAGGUGAAGUUUUUAUAAGAAGGCUCACGUUUCAAAUGCCUUCCUCCAGUAGGAAAUAAACAUUAAUAAUAAGGACUGAGAACAUUUCUGUGUAUUGUAGAAAAGCAGAGUAUAUAGUUAACCACACAUACCUCACAGUCUUGGAAAAUUAUGCAUUAUUUAGAAAAGGGAUUAAAAAUAUCUCCAACUUGCAAGUGUUCAACCUCUCACCCCUUGGGAUUGCACAGGGAGGGUGCUGAUAUCCUUUUCCACUGCUUCAUGGUCUCUGAGGAACAGACCCAUGGCAUUAGUCAGCAGUUUCUGAAUGUUGACCCACAAUAGGAAAGACACCUCGAGACAGGAGAAAUAGAUGGAGGUAAUUACAAACAGCUACUUGAUGGAUGGUUGACAUUGUCGGGGCUCCAGUGUACGGCAGAUUGCGAUGGUGUUGAACUCCCCUUGUACCAGUGGAUGUUGCUAUUGGCAACCGUGCAGUGAAGCCAAUAAAAAGGCAAGAAAAUGAGACGAGAGCUCA